AGCAUAAUCACUUGUUCUUUAAAUGGGGACUCGUAUCAACGGCAUCACGAGGGUUGUACUGUCUCCUUUCCCCAAUCAGUGAAACUGAUCUCUCCGUGAAGAAGCGGAGAUAAGCAUACAAGACGAGAAGACCCCAUGGAGCUUUAAACCCAGCAAUUACCUCUGUUCAAAAAUAUCCCCCUAGACAACGGAGUCCUAAAUGUCUGGUUUUGGGUUGGGGUGACCGCGGAGCACAAUUUAACCUCCACGAUGGAUGGGCUGACCCCCCUAAUCCAUGAGCUACACCUCUAAGAAUUAGUAAUCUAACAUAAACUGAUCCGAUCAUCGAUCAACGAACCAAGUUACCCUGGGGAUAACAGCGCAAUCCACUUACAGAGCCCCUAUCGACAAGUGGGUUUACGACCUCGAUGUUGGAUCAGGGUAUCCUAGUGGUGCAGCAGCUACUAAAGGUUCGUUUGUUCAACGAUUAAAACCCU
This 476-nucleotide ribosomal RNA is filed under the name Aglyptodactylus laticeps. RNAcentral describes it as "partial 16S ribosomal RNA". It matches the Rfam family "Bacterial large subunit ribosomal RNA", at positions 1958 to 2597 of the family's 2925-position model. Lineage: Eukaryota; Metazoa; Chordata; Amphibia; Anura; Mantellidae. The record is from RNAcentral.